Bos taurus (domestic cattle) is the source of this 441-nucleotide long non-coding RNA. NCBI's taxonomy places the organism in Eukaryota, Metazoa, Chordata, Mammalia, Artiodactyla, Bovidae. The record is from Ensembl.
GGAGGGCACGGCUUUCAGCUCGAUUCGUUUUCCCACGGAAUUAUCCUGGGAAGAUCGACAGGACCUUCCGCCCCCCGCCUUUCUUUUUAAAAUGAGCCCUUUGCAGAGCAGAGCGCCUGUGUCUCCGACUUCUAACUACCCUCCUUGUUGCUGGGAACAAAUGCCUAGAGACACCUCGACGCUCAGAGACCUUGGAGGGAGUCCCUGGGGACCACUACUGCUUCCAAUCAAAGCUGGAGAAUCUAAGCUGGACAAGAUGGUGCCAUUUCGGUGCCUACUCUUGUAUGUUUGAACUGUUUUAUCUGUGUCUAGAACUGGUACACUUGAAUCUUAAAACUGGUGGAAUUGUGUCACUUUCCUGCAAACAAAAAUCUGCAGUUUAUCUCUGCAAAUAGAAAAAGUCCAAAUCUCUCUGCCUGACGUUCAAAGCCCCUCAUAAAU